This 76-nucleotide transfer RNA is filed under the name Natribacillus halophilus. RNAcentral's name for it is "tRNA_Asp_GTC". It matches the Rfam family "tRNA". From Rfam's summary of the family: Transfer RNA (tRNA) molecules are approximately 80 nucleotides in length. Lineage: Bacteria; Bacillati; Bacillota; Bacilli; Caryophanales; Bacillaceae. The record is from RNAcentral.
GGGCCUGUAGUGUAGCGGUGAACAUGCCUGCCUGUCACGCAGGAGAUCGCGGGUUCGAAUCCCGUCAGGCCCGCCA